Molecule: small RNA, 45 nt
Filed under: Arabidopsis thaliana (thale cress)
Lineage: Eukaryota; Viridiplantae; Streptophyta; Magnoliopsida; Brassicales; Brassicaceae
Description: ATSL229940
Source: RNAcentral
CCUAGGCAAACCCACACACUGGGUUCAAUUCUAUCUUACUUUACC